This 235-nucleotide ribosomal RNA is filed under the name uncultured bacterium. RNAcentral's name for it is "partial 16S ribosomal RNA". It matches the Rfam family "Bacterial small subunit ribosomal RNA", at positions 96 to 334 of the family's 1533-position model. The record is from RNAcentral.
UGGCGGACGGGUGAGUAAUGUCUGGGAAACUGCCUGGUGGAGGGGGAUAACUACUGGAAACGGUAGCUAAUACCGCAUAACGUCGCAAGACCAAAGAGGGGGACCUUAGGGCCUCUUGCCAUCGGAUGUGCCCAGAUGGGAUUAGCUAGUAGGUGGGGUAAAGGCUCACCUAGGCGACGAUCCCUAGCUGGUCUGAGAGGAUGACCAGCCACACUGGAACUGAGACACGGUCCAG